ACGUAGGGUGCGAGCGUUAAUCGGAAUUACUGGGCGUAAAGCGUGUGUAGGUGGUUAGAUAAGUUAGAUGUGAAAUCCCCGGGCUUAACCUGGGCACUGCGUUUAAGACUGUUUAGCUAGAGUACUGUAGAGGAUAGUGGAAUUUCCAGUGUAGCGGUGAAAUGCGUAGAUAUUGGAAGGAACACCAGUGGCGAAGGCGACUAUCUGGACAGAUACUGACACUGAGACACGAAAGCGUGGGGAGCAAACAGGA
RNAcentral lists this ribosomal RNA (253 nucleotides) under uncultured prokaryote. RNAcentral describes it as "partial 16S ribosomal RNA". It matches the Rfam family "Bacterial small subunit ribosomal RNA", at positions 525 to 777 of the family's 1533-position model. The record is from RNAcentral.